UAGGUGUGAGCGGUAUUCCACGCCGUUCGUGCCGCAGCUAACGCAUUAAGCACCCCGCCUGGGGAGUACGGCCGCAAGGCUAAAACUCAAAGGAAUUGACGGGGGCCCGCACAAGCAGCGGAGCAUGUGGCUUAAUUCGACGCAACGCGAAGAACCUUACCAAGGCUUGACAUACACCGAAAACUCGUAGAGAUACGGGGUCCGCAAGGGCGGUGUACAGGUGGUGCAUGGUUGUCGUCAGCUCGUGUCGUGAGAUGUUGGGUUAAGUCCCGCAACGAGCGCAACCCUCGUUCUAUGUUGCCAGCGCGUCAUGGCGGGGACUCAUAGGAGACUGCCGGGGUCAACUCGGAGGAAGGUGGGGACGACGUCAAAUCAUCAUGCCCCUUAUGUCUUGGGCUGCACACAUGCUACAAUGGCCGGUACAAAGGGCUGCUAAGCCGCGAGGUGGAGCGAAUCCCAAAAAGCCGGUCUCAGUUCGGAUUGGGGUCUGCAACUCGACCCCAUGAAGUCGGAGUUGCUAGUAAUCGCAGAUCAGCAACGCUGCGGUGAAUACGUUCCCGGGCCUUGUACACACCGCCCGUCACGUCACGAAAGUCGGUAACACCCGAAGCCAGUGGCCCAACUCGUAAGAGAGGGAGCUGUCGAAGGUGGGAUCGGCGAUUGGGACGAAGUCGUAACAAGGUAACC
This 687-nucleotide ribosomal RNA is filed under the name uncultured bacterium. RNAcentral describes it as "bacterial SSU rRNA". It matches the Rfam family "Bacterial small subunit ribosomal RNA", at positions 817 to 1501 of the family's 1533-position model. The record is from RNAcentral.